UUGGAACAGUGGCAUAAGCAAGGCAGCCAAAAGCCCUUAAAUGAUGAAAAGUGGGAGGUUUCCCAUACAACAGUUCAUGAGGAGAUUUAUUAUGUAAUAAUCUGGUGGGUAUUCUAUUAAGAAAGUAUGUAGCAGUUGAUAAACAAUCCCCCCAGAAAGAAGUAGGGCAAGGCAGCCAAAAGCCCUUAAAUGAUGAAAAGUAGGAGGUUUCCCAUACAACAGUUCAUGAGGAGAUUUAUUAUGUAAUAAUCUGGUGGGUAUUCUAUUAAGCAAGUAUGUAGCAGUUAAUAAACAAUCCACCCAGAAAGAAGUAGGCAACCCAGACUGAAAAAGAGCCCUACAAGUCUCAAGAAGGGUUCUGUGUUUUCUUUCAACAAGUCCAUUUUGUUGGGGAGUGUGAGAACAGGAAGUUUGGUGGAUGAUGCCCUUGCUGCUAAAAAAUGAAAUGCCUUCAUUGCUGGAACCCAACUCCAAUGCAUUAUCACUUCUAACAGUUUGGACCAUAGUAUGAAACUGGGUCUUAACCAUAGAAAUAAAGGACUUAAGCAUAGAAAAGGCAUUGCCUUUAGAUCCUAACAAGUGAGUCCAUGUUGCUCUUGAAAAAUCAUCAACUAUUGUGAUGAAGUAUCUACAGCCAGAAAAAGUUGGAGUGUGAUAAGGUCCCCAGGUGUCAACAUGAAUCAGCUGAAAUGGCUUAGAGGUUUUAAUGGAACUGUCAGGAAAAGAAAGCCUAGUUUGUCUGGCCAUAGGGCAGACUGAACAAGGGAAAGGUUGUUUAGAAGCAAAAGGGAAACAUAAACCAUAAAUACAUCUCAUAUGUGCAAAAGGAUUAUGACCAAGCCGUAGGUGCCAAAUGUAAUUCAUAUCAGAAUUCAAAUCAUUAUUACAAUUGGAACUAUUUACA
This 904-nucleotide long non-coding RNA is filed under the name Nicotiana benthamiana. Its description in RNAcentral is "long non-coding RNA (NBEN_LNC009115)". The record is from RNAcentral. Lineage: Eukaryota; Viridiplantae; Streptophyta; Magnoliopsida; Solanales; Solanaceae.